RNAcentral lists this ribosomal RNA (465 nucleotides) under uncultured bacterium. RNAcentral's name for it is "partial 16S ribosomal RNA". It matches the Rfam family "Bacterial small subunit ribosomal RNA", at positions 28 to 507 of the family's 1533-position model. The record is from RNAcentral.
GACGAACGCUGGCGGCGUGCUUAACACAUGCAAGUCGAACGGAAAGGCCCCUUUGGGGGUACUCGAGUGGCGAACGGGCGAGUAACACGUGAGUAACCUGCCCUCGACUUCGGGAUAACCUCAGGAAACUGGGGCUAAUACCGGAUAGGAAUCCUUGCUGCAUGGUUGGGGUUGGAAAGCUUCGGCGGUUUUGGAUGGACUCGCGGCUUAUCAGCUUGUUGGUGGGGUAGUGGCCUACCAAGGCUUUGACGGGUAGCCGGCCUGCGAGAGCGACCGGCCACAUUGGGACUGAGAUACGGCCCAGACUCCUACGGGAGGCAGCAGUGGAGAAUAUUGCGCAAUGGGCGGAAGCCUGAUGCAGCGACGCCGCGUGCGGGAUGACGGCCUUCGGGUUGUAAGCCGCUUUCGGCAGGGGCGAAGCUUGUGGUGACGGUACCUGCAGAAGAAGCACCGGCUAACUACGUG